Cryptomeria japonica (Japanese cedar) is the source of this 1301-nucleotide long non-coding RNA. RefSeq lists it as uncharacterized. The transcript has 6 exons. The record is from RefSeq and is a predicted model, not a curated record. NCBI's taxonomy places the organism in Eukaryota, Viridiplantae, Streptophyta, Pinopsida, Cupressales, Cupressaceae.
UGUUUGAAACUCAAACAGAAAAUAAAAUUCAGAUGUCAUUCACGCCGUUAAGAAUUGCCUGAAAAUAACAUGGAGCCGGAAUGCACAGAAAAUAACAGAAAAUUCAGAUGUCAUGGAGCGGAAUGCACAGAAAAUAACAGAAAAUUCAGAUGUCAUGGAGUGGAGCCGUUGAGAGAAUGCUUGAAAAACCAAUUCAAAUUUCAUGGAGCGUAAUUGGAGUAAACCAUGGUAUUCAAACCAUGUAAACCACUGUAUUUCUCGUACACAGAGGGAUGGUAUUUAUUAGUCCUGUCAUUAUUUGUGCACAAGGGAGGCAGCCGCCAUUGUCUGUGUCGCAUUUGCAUGUUUAAGAUUAUAACCCUAACUUGUCAGACCAAUAAAUGUUUUUUUUAUGUUUUUCUUUGCUUUGUUCUGUCUUUCUGUUAUUUUUUAUUGUGUUUUUUUCUGUCGUUUCAAUAUUUCUUGUUUUUCCCUUUUGUUAAGAGUCUGUCUACAGUGUGCACACUAGUAUCUAUUGUUUUUUCUUUUCUUUUUUUCACAUUUUGUGUGGUAGAAGAUGAAGAGGAAAAGCAGAGAAGGUAGGAAUCAAGAAAUGGCAGCUGAUUGAGGGAAAAACUCUUCUUCGAGCCGGUCAUGGCACUGACAAUGGAUUCACUGGUGGGACCAUUUCUCAGAGGAGGCCUUGCUAAGCUCUUCAUGACUCCUUCUGAACCUGCUCACUGGUCAAUUUUGUGAAAGGGUUGAGGUUGGACUAGAUCAAAGGGAGAAUUAUCUUCAGCGCCUUCAGCAGGUUCAGCAGCAAGGACACAAUCCAGGUCUCUUGGGAGCUCAAUUGUCUCAUUUAUCAGUGGCCAACCAGAAGCAAUUUUUGUCUCAGCAACAACAAUCUGCAAUUUUGCAGCAGGUGAAUGUCACUAUUUUGUUGAGGGAAAAAGCUUGUGGAGUGGGACGUCUUACUUCUUGGUUUGUCCGUUGGUUGUCGUAACACAGAGAAGCUGCAAUCAUUGAAGUUGACAUGUUUGGUGAGGUUGACAUGAACGAUUACAAACAGGACCUGGGUGGCAGCAUGUUGGAGCGAAAAAACUGCAUGAUAAGAGGAUCCUAAAGUGAGCUAAGCAGCUAUAUGAAUUCGUCUUUUUCAGCAUGAUGUAUAAAAAAAGCAAGAGAUGAAAUUAUGCUUCAAUCAUUUAUGUAGUUAAAUUUUGGUCAAGCAUAUCGACUUGAUGCAUUGUAAUAUGUACAAAUAUAGUGCUUAAUAAAAAAAGAAGGGGUUAAAAACCCCUUCUAAGGACUCAAGGGAA